CAUUUUCUGCAUGAACCCUAACGGGUUAUGAGAUUUUUUGAUGUUUUUAAUUUUUUUACAUAAUUUGGAAAUGCCUGUUGUCCUUUACAUUGUAUAUAAAUUCCAUGAUGUAUCGACUAAGAGAAAUGACCCAAAAUGAAGCGCAAAAACUUCCGGUUCCAUUCGUUUAUAUUGAAAGUGAAGUAGGUUUUCUCCUUCUCCUGUAAAGUUACCAUUUUGGAAGUCCUAAAGCAGGUAGCCUUCAAAUUGUCUUACCAAAUAUUUAGUGUUGAACUCCAGGGGAGCAACAGGUUUUGAUGAAUGCAAAUGAUUUGGCAUAUAAAUGAUGCAUUCUGUAAAAAUCAGAUCACAGUUGAUGGCAGAUUUCCGCAAGGCUUCUUCUCCUGGGCAGAUAUUGAAAUGAGUCAUCGCAAGAUCCGCCCCUUACAAGAGGUUUUGUGCUAUAUGGACAAAACUCCCAUUUCCCUAAACUGUAUCCUGGUUUGUUUCAUCAUCCUCUACGUGCUUGAGUCAUUGUUUACUUUAACAGUCAAUGGACAGUGUUAUUGACAUGGGCUACACACCCUGUAUGUCCAAAAGUUUGUAGACACUUGCUCACCCAGCGCUUCCUCUGAAAUGAAAGGUGGCAACAGUGAGUUUGUCCCCCUGUGCUGCAGUAACAGCCUCUACCCUUCUAGGAAGGCUUUACACUAGAUGUUGAACAUUGCUGUGAGGUUUUGAUUGAGUAUUAGUGAGGUCAUGGAGCUUCAUCACUCCAGAGAACACAGUUCCACUGCUCCACAGCCGACGCUGGGGUCUUCAUACCCUUCUAGCUUGCAUGUGGCAUUGAGCAUGAUGACAUUAGGCUCAUGUGCAGCUGCUCCAGAGCGUCCCGUUCUAUUGGUCAAAGCGUUUAAAUGGAGAUUAUAUACCUGUGGCAGCAGUGGAUGUAGCUAAGCUGAACUCACUUUUACAGCAUUUGGCUGACGCUCUUAUCCAGAGUGACUUACAAUUUGAUCAAUUUACACAGGCAGACAAAGGUGGUGUUAGGAGUCUUGCCCAAGGACUCUUAUUGGUAUAGUGUAGGGUGUUUGCCCAGGUGGGGAUUGAACCCCAGUCAACAGCGUAGAAGGUGUUACCCUCUACACUAUCCCACUCACUGAUUAGGGUUAACUCACUUUUGGACAUGCAGUGUAUUUCGGAGCUGCAUUACAGACCAGCAAGUGCCUUUACAACAUUAAAAACACAAGCAGUGAAUAUCGUCAAACUCAAAACGUCUCCAGAAUAUGGAGAAUUGCUGCCAGUUAUUACUCAGUCACCAUCAGUUGACAUGCAUAGUUCAUAUCAGGUGAAUUAGACUGAAUGGUACUGAGUCCUGCUGGUGACAUCCCAUAUAAAUAGAUGUAACGAGAAAAUGAAGUCGUGGCCACAACUUAGUAAGGUGUGGGAGUGAGAUUCUAAUGCAUAGCCACAACUUAUGAAAUGAUCAAGCCAUGGCCACGACUUAUUAAAGCAUGGGAAUGAGAUCCUAAUGCGUGGCCACAACUGAGUAAGGUGUGGGAACGAGAUAAUUAAGUCGUGGACAUGACUUAAUAAGGCGUGGGAUCAAUUGAGCUUGACCACCCCAUGCCUAAUGGUCAAGGCUCAAUUAUCUCACUCCCACACCUCACUAAGAAUGAGAUAAUUAAGUCAUGGCCAUGACUUAAUAAGGCAUGGGAUCAAGAUCCUAAUGAGUGGCCACAACUUAGUAAGGUGUGGGAAUGAGAUAAUUAAGCCUGACCACCUCAUGCCUUAUUAAGUUAUGGUCAAGGCUUAAUUGUCUCACUCCCACACCUAAGUUGUGGCCACGUGUUAAUUUUCUUAUUCCCACACAUUCCUAAGUCAUGGGCACUUUUUCGGAUCGCGGUAAUGCAGCAUGGCCAUUCAUUUUUAUUUAUACGGGAUGUCACCAGCAGGGCUCCGGGGAACAGUGAGGGAACCGAGCGUCGUCUUCUGUAUCUCAAAGCCGGUUACUCAAGGACAGCAGCCGAAAUGCUUCACGCUGCACUUCUGGCCGACUAAUUGAACUCAAUUUGUAGCCCCACUUUAUUCAUCCAUCCAUUUUCUAAGCUGCUUCUCCCUCAGGGUCGUGGGAGCCUAUCCCAGCGGUCAUCGGGCGGAAGGCAGGACACACCCUGGACAGGCCGCCAGUCCACACCUAGGGGCAGUGCACGUCCAAUCGGCCUGACUGCAUGUCUUUGGACUGUGGGGGGAAACCGGAGAACCCGGAGGAAACCCACAUUUUAUUACGGAGUGUUUUAUUUUAGUGCUGUCUUAAUAUAAGUGGAUAAUAACAACCAGUGAGGUUAUUUUCGUUGAAGGCACUGCAAAAGUGGCAUCUCAGGUGAAAUCCUCUCUGAUCUAGUCAGCAUAUCAUCACUGUGCAAAGAAAACAUGCAUCUCCAUUUUUGUCCAUUUUUAUUGUUCUCCGUGGUUUGAACACACCGGCUGCCCUUUGCGUUACUUUUCAUGAUGACUAGUUGAAAUUCUUUGAAAUCGCUUUUAAUGAAGCCUCUUCGCAUCGACUUACAUUAGAAGUGAAGAAUGUUUGUGCCUGUCAGUGACGAUGUCUUAUAUUUCUCGUUAUCAGGUUGUUGUGAGAAUAGCAUUACGCAACCUAUUUCUAGACUUUGACAUUUAUUUUAUGUAAUAUUUUGGGGUUAAAUCAUCUUAUCUGACAAUUUUGCUCAUUUUCAAAAAUAAUGCCUAGAACAUGCAAAGCUAUCUGCAGGAGGAACCUUUACUUUUAAUGUAAGUCAAUGGAACCAGACGUCAUUUUUGGGCUGCUUGUUUUGGUCCAUUCAUCGUGAAAUUUACACACAAUGUAAAGAACAACAGGCACUUUCAAAUCAUGUCAAAUCCAAGGUUGUUUCACCGACAGCAGUGACCUGCAUUUCAUAAUGAUAUAUAUUAGACGUGUUGACAAGAUUUAAGAUCUUGUGCAGUGCAGUGUUUAUUGUCACUGCCUGUGAAUGGAGCUUUGUGAUGCCCUGUGAUAAUGUAAAUGUAAAUAAAGCAGCUGAUGUAGUCAUUUUUCUAAAAAAUGAAUUGCAUUUAAAUGAUUUAAAAUCAUGAGUGGUGUAAACGUUGGUGGAUUUGUGUGUAAACGUACUGUAAACGUGUGGAGAACACUCGAGUUUAUUAAAACUCUUGAGGCUCUU
This is a long non-coding RNA of Pygocentrus nattereri (red-bellied piranha), 3179 nucleotides long. RefSeq lists it as uncharacterized. The transcript has 2 exons. The record is from RefSeq and is a predicted model, not a curated record. NCBI's taxonomy places the organism in Eukaryota, Metazoa, Chordata, Actinopteri, Characiformes, Serrasalmidae.